GACGAACGCUGGCGGCGUGCUUAACACAUGCAAGUCGAACGAAGAGCGAUGGAAGCUUGCUUCUAUCAAUCUUAGUGGCGAACGGGUGAGUAACGCGUAAUCAACCUGCCCUUCAGAGGGGGACAACAGUUGGAAACGACUGCUAAUACCGCAUACGAUCUAACCUCGGCAUCGAGGAUGGAUGAAAGGUGGCCUCUAUUUAUAAGCUAUCACUGAAGGAGGGGAUUGCGUCUGAUUAGCUAGUUGGAGGGGUAACGGCCCACCAAGGCGAUGAUCAGUAGCCGGUCUGAGAGGAUGAACGGCCACAUUGGGACUGAGACACGGCCCAGACUCCUACGGGAGGCAGCAGUGGUGAAUCUUCCGCAAUAGACGAAAGUCUGACGGAGCAACGCCGCGUGAGUGAUGACGGCCUUCGGGUUGUAAAGCUCUGUUAAUCGGGACGAAAGGCCUUCUUGCGAAUAGUUAGAAGGAUUGACGGUACCGGAAUAGAAAGCCACGGCUAACUACGUG
Molecule: ribosomal RNA, 510 nt
Filed under: uncultured bacterium
Lineage: Bacteria
Description: partial 16S ribosomal RNA
Rfam family: Bacterial small subunit ribosomal RNA
Source: RNAcentral